Molecule: small nucleolar RNA, 85 nt
Organism: Cavia porcellus (domestic guinea pig)
Lineage: Eukaryota; Metazoa; Chordata; Mammalia; Rodentia; Caviidae
Source: Ensembl
UGGACAGGUGCAAAAAAAUAAAUCCUCUUCUGCAACCCAGAACUCAUUGUUUAGAAGAGUUGUGAUAUAUAUAAUAAGGAAUAUU